UGCCACACGAAGAACCUUACCUGGGUUUGACAUAUAGGUUGUAGGGAACGUGAAAAGGGACCGACCCUUCGGGGAGCCUAUACAGGUGUUGCAUGGCUGUCGUCAGCUCGUGUCGUGAGAUGUUCGGUUAAGUCCGCUAACGAGCGCAACCCUCGUCGUAUGUUAUAUGUGUCAUACGAGACUGCCGGUAAAAGCCGGAGGAAGGUGAGGAUGAUGUCAAGUCAGCAUGACCUUUAUAUCCAGGGCUACACACACGCUACAAUGGUCUGUACAAUGGGUAGCCAAGCCGCGAGGCGGAGCCAAUCCUGAAAGCAGGCCUCAGUUCAGAUUGCAGUCUGCAACUCGACUGCAUGAAGCCGGAGUUGCUAGUAACCGCAGGUCAGCAAUACUGCGGUGAAUACGUUCCCGGGUCUU
RNAcentral lists this ribosomal RNA (414 nucleotides) under uncultured Anaerolineaceae bacterium. RNAcentral describes it as "bacterial SSU rRNA". It matches the Rfam family "Bacterial small subunit ribosomal RNA", at positions 955 to 1382 of the family's 1533-position model. Lineage: Bacteria; Bacillati; Chloroflexota; Anaerolineae; Anaerolineales; Anaerolineaceae. The record is from RNAcentral.